RNAcentral lists this long non-coding RNA (1161 nucleotides) under Cyanistes caeruleus (blue tit). RNAcentral describes it as "lncRNA (ENSCCEG00000018380.1)". The record is from RNAcentral. Lineage: Eukaryota; Metazoa; Chordata; Aves; Passeriformes; Paridae.
CUUGGAAAAACCUUGGAUCCACGCCAAGGUUUAAUUUUCAAGUGCUCCCAUCUGUGUCUCCCCGGGGUGGGAGAUGUAAUGCUCUUAUCUUUUCUUUUGGGCCAAAUCUCCGACCACAAAAGGACCAAUUCAGGCUCCAGGGCCUCAGGAGAGAGAGUCAGGAAUGGAAAAAAACCAUCUUUAUUUUGGCAAAGCUGCCUGACUGAAGAGUGUCCAGGUGGAAAAGCUACUGGAGUAAGGAGAGGAUCCUUUCUGCUGGCCAGAUCUCAAGGAAAUUCAGAGUCUGACCCCCCAAAGAGAGGAAUUCUCCUCCCCACCAACCCAGAACGCUCAACAGCAGCAGCAGCAUCACCCAAACCCCCGGGGGAAUCCCAAAGCAGGCGUGUUUGGAGCCAUCCCUUCCCACUUCCCCGUCCCCAGAGCUGCCAUGGAGCUCGGGAGAAUUGGGAACAGCCUCCAGCUGAAGGAGGACAGGCUCAGGUUUUGGAUUUUGGGAACCAGCACCAAGCGGCUCCGAUCCGACAGGGAGUUAAAAAAACCCCUCCAAACCACAGAGGGGACAACCCAUCUGAUCCCUGCCGGGAGCCGGCUCUUAGCACGCUACACAGGAGCCGUGGCAGCUCGGAAUUUUAUUCACAAAGCCAAACAAUUCCAGCCUGGCAGCUGAGCAUCCUCCGGGGAUCAAUUAUUGCACCGUGCGCCGGCCACGCCGCGGCUCCCCCGGGAUGGAGCCGGCUCCAUCCUCCAGCCACGGGCUGCUCCUCAUGUCAAAACUGCCGCUAAUGACACAAUUAACUGGCUGGGGACUGCCGAGGAGCUCUUAAUUAGUGCGUACACAGAGGUCGCUUCCUCAAGCAGAGCAGCAGCUCGGGAAUUGCCGUCCGGUUUUAAGUGGAAAACCUCAGGGAGAAUCUGAGAUCCCCAGGGGGAAAAUGCAAAAACAUCUGUAAUUCUUCACAUGCUAACGGGACUGAGUGGCACUCGAGGACCAAAGCAAGGAUCCUGAAGCUCAGCCGGCUGCAGAUUUAAGGAUGCUUCAUCCCAGGCUCUGGAAAAAUGCAGAGCAUCGUGUCCCCCUGUUUCUUGCACCCCUGCAGCGUGGUAUUGCUUAGUCCUGAGUGUUGAAAUAAACCCUGCAGAGCCGAGCUGGAAGUUAAAUUC